GAUGAACGCUAUCUACAGGCUUAACACAUGCAAGUCGAGGGGCAGCAUGGUCUUAGCUUGCUAAGGCCGAUGGCGACCGGCGCACGGGUGAGUAACACGUAUCCAACCUGCCGUCUACUCUUGGACAGCCUUCUGAAAGGAAGAUUAAUACAAGAUGGCAUCAUGAGUCCGCAUGUUCACAUGAUUAAAGGUAUUCCGGUAGACGAUGGGGAUGCGUUCCAUUAGAUAGUAGGCGGGGUAACGGCCCACCUAGUCUUCGAUGGAUAGGGGUUCUGAGAGGAAGGUCCCCCACAUUGGAACUGAGACACGGUCCAAACUCCUACGGGAGGCAGCAGUGAGGAAUAUUGGUCAAUGGGCGAGAGCCUGAACCAGCCAAGUAGCGUGAAGGAUGACUGCCCUAUGGGUUGUAAACUUCUUUUAUAAAGGAAUAAAGUCGGGUAUGGAUACCCGUUUGCAUGUACUUUAUGAAUAAGGAUCGGCUAACUCCGUGCCAGCAGCCGCGGUAAUACGGAGGAUCCGAGCGUUAUCCGGAUUUAUUGGGUUUAAAGGGAGCGUAGAUGGAUGUUUAAGUCAGUUGUGAAAGUUUGCGGCUCAACCGUAAAAUUGCAGUUGAUACUGGAUAUCUUGAGUGCAGUUGAGGCAGGCGGAAUUCGUGGUGUAGCGGUGAAAUGCUUAGAUAUCACGAAGAACUCCGAUUGCGAAGGCAGCCUGCUAAGCUGCAACUGACAUUGAGGCUCGAAAGUGUGGGUAUCAAACAGGAUUAGAUACCCUGGUAGUCCACACGGUAAACGAUGAAUACUCGCUGUUUGCGAUAUACUGCAAGCGGCCAAGCGAAAGCGUUAAGUAUUCCACCUGGGGAGUACGCCGGCAACGGUGAAACUCAAAGGAAUUGACGGGGGCCCGCACAAGCGGAGGAACAUGUGGUUUAAUUCGAUGAUACGCGAGGAACCUUACCCGGGCUUAAAUUGCAGAUGAAUUACGGUGAAAGCCGUAAGCCGCAAGGCAUCUGUGAAGGUGCUGCAUGGUUGUCGUCAGCUCGUGCCGUGAGGUGUCGGCUUAAGUGCCAUAACGAGCGCAACCCUUGUUGUCAGUUACUAACAGGUUCCGCUGAGGACUCUGACAAGACUGCCAUCGUAAGAUGUGAGGAAGGUGGGGAUGACGUCAAAUCAGCACGGCCCUUACGUCCGGGGCUACACACGUGUUACAAUGGGGGGUACAGAGGGCCGCUACCACGCGAGUGGAUGCCAAUCCCCAAAACCUCUCUCAGUUCGGACUGGAGUCUGCAACCCGACUCCACGAAGCUGGAUUCGCUAGUAAUCGCGCAUCAGCCACGGCGCGGUGAAUACGUUCCCGGGCCUUGUACACACCGCCCGUCAAGCCAUGGGAGCCGGGGGUACCUGAAGUGCGUAACCGCGAGGAGCGCCCUAGGGUAAAACUGGUGACUGGGGCUAAAU
This 1454-nucleotide ribosomal RNA is filed under the name uncultured organism. RNAcentral's name for it is "SSU rRNA". It matches the Rfam family "Bacterial small subunit ribosomal RNA". The record is from RNAcentral.